RNAcentral lists this microRNA precursor (198 nucleotides) under Oryza punctata. Its description in RNAcentral is "MIR1435 microRNA precursor family". It matches the Rfam family "MIR1435 microRNA precursor family". Lineage: Eukaryota; Viridiplantae; Streptophyta; Magnoliopsida; Poales; Poaceae. The record is from Rfam by way of RNAcentral.
UGGGUUUGUCCUAAGUCAAACCUCUUUAAAUUUGACCAAGUUUCUAGGAAAAUACAGCAACAUUUCCAACACAAAAUAAAUAUACUAUAAAAAUAUAUUUAAUGGUGGAUUUAAUGAAACUAAUUUGGUGCUUUAGAUGUUAGUACACUUCUCUAUAAACUUAGUCAAACUUGAAGAGGUUUGACUGGACAAAACCAA